RNAcentral lists this long non-coding RNA (1127 nucleotides) under Homo sapiens (human). RNAcentral's name for it is "HSALNT0044947". Lineage: Eukaryota; Metazoa; Chordata; Mammalia; Primates; Hominidae. The record is from RNAcentral.
CAGGCUGCCUGAGCUAGUAGUGGCAACCAGCUUGCGUCCGUUUCCAUGUUGUGGGAGAUUUGUUCUUUCGCUCUUUGUGGUAAAUCUUGCUACUGCUCACUCUUUGAGUCCACACUGCUUUUAUGAGCUGUAACACUCACCGGGAAGGUCUGCAGCUUCAAUCCUGAAGCCAGCGAGGCCACCAGCCCACCGGGAGGAACGAACAACUCCAGACGCACCGCCUUAAGAGCUGUAACACUCACCGCGAAGGUCUGCAGCUUCACUCCUGAGCCAGCGAGACCACGAACCCACCAGAAGAAAGAAACUCCGAACACAUCCGAACACCAGAAGGAACAAACUCCAGACGCGCCAACUGUAACACUCACCGCGAGGAUCCGUGGCUUCAUUCUUGAAGUUAUUGUCUUCAGAAGGAGAGUAAAAAGAAUGCUGGGUAGAAGAAAUACCUGAAGAAAUAAUGGCCCAACCUCAAAUUUGGUGAAAGACAUAAACUUACAGAUUCAAGAAACUGAGUGUUCCCCAAACAGAAUAAACUUUAAAGAAUCCACACUCAAACACAUCAUAAUCAAACUUCUGAAAACUAACAACAAAGAAAAACUUAAAAUCAGCAAGAGAGAAACCACACAUUAUCAACUGAUGAAAAGUGACUCAAGUGACAGCAGAUUUAUAAUCAGAAACUUGAAGGACAGAAGGAAGAGGCAAAACAUUUUGAAAGCCCUAAAAGGAAAGAACUGUCAACCCAGAAUUCGACAUCCAGUAAAAAUAUCCGUCAAGAAUGAAUAUGAAGGAAAGCUAAGAAUGAAUAUAUCUUCUAUUUCUUUGCUAAAUUUUUCUACUUUUUCAUUUGAUGUAAGAGUGUUUAUAAGUGCUUAUGGAGCAUUUUUAUGAUAGUUGGUUUACAAUCCUUGUCUGAGAGUAGCUAUGUGAGAUGACGUAUAUAGUAAAUGGUGACUGUAGUAACCAUUUCACUACAUAUAAGUAUGUCAAAACAUGUUGUACACCUUAAAUAUACACAAAAAAUAGCUCUGACACAAAAAAUGCAUAGUUGUUAUUACCAUGUAUAAAUAAAAAUACUUGUAAGUUUAGAAAAUAAAAUCAUUGUCUGAUAAUUAUCUAAAUAAUAAAGUCCA